RNAcentral lists this ribosomal RNA (301 nucleotides) under uncultured bacterium. RNAcentral describes it as "partial 16S ribosomal RNA". It matches the Rfam family "Bacterial small subunit ribosomal RNA", at positions 509 to 809 of the family's 1533-position model. The record is from RNAcentral.
CAGCCGCCGCGGGAAAACGUAGGUGGCAAGCGUUGUCCGGAAUUAUUGGGCGUAAAGGGCUCGCAGGCGGUUUCUUAAGUCUGAUGCGAAAGCCCCCGGCUCAACCGGGGAGGGUCAUUGGAAACUGGGAAACUUGAGUGCAGAAGAGGAGAGUGGAAUUCCACGUGUAGCGGUGAAAUGCGUAGAGAUGUGGAGGAACACCAGUGGCGAGGGCGACUCUCUGGACUGUAACUGACGCUGAGGAGCGAAAGCGUGGGGAGCGAACAGGAUUAGAUACCCGCGUAGUCCCUGUCUCUUAUAA